RNAcentral lists this ribosomal RNA (207 nucleotides) under uncultured bacterium. Its description in RNAcentral is "partial 16S ribosomal RNA". It matches the Rfam family "Bacterial small subunit ribosomal RNA", at positions 568 to 774 of the family's 1533-position model. The record is from RNAcentral.
CGUGUAGGCGGUUAUCCAAGUCGGGUGUGAAAGCCUUGAGCUUAACUCAAGAAAUGCACUCGGUACUGGGUGACUAGAGGACCGGAGAGGAUAGUGGAAUUCCCAGUGUAGUGGUGAAAUACGUAGAGAUUGGGAAGAACACCAGUGGCGAAGGCGGCUAUCUGGACGGUUUCUGACGCUAAGACGCGAAAGCGUGGGGAGCAAACA